UGUCCUGAGAAAGCUAUGGAGGUCCUA
This 27-nucleotide non-coding RNA is filed under the name Mus musculus (house mouse). The record is from RNAcentral. Lineage: Eukaryota; Metazoa; Chordata; Mammalia; Rodentia; Muridae.